Molecule: long non-coding RNA, 1269 nt
Filed under: Felis catus (domestic cat)
Lineage: Eukaryota; Metazoa; Chordata; Mammalia; Carnivora; Felidae
Description: lncRNA (ENSFCAG00000045756.2)
Source: RNAcentral
AAAGGGACAAGGGCAGGUGUGUCAGUCAGGGUCCUGUGGCAGGAAGAAGUACACCUGGAUGCAACUUGGAAGCGAAUUGGACAAAGGGAUGAUUUCAUAGAGGCAAGGGCAGGAAGGGGAACUGCCAGGACUCCGGGGGCGACCGGGACUAGCUGCGGUGGGCAGUCUCCGCCACCACUUAGGCCUCUCGGGAGCUGGAGUCAUGAAGGAGGGACUCCCCGGGGUUGGGGGCUGAGGUCCUGGAGGGGUGCAGCCGUUACUGGCGCGUGGAGGGAUGGGUCUAGCUCUCCAUCUCCCGCCAGCGCCAGACCCAACUGGAACUCAGAGAACAACGGAGCCCAGAAUACCCAGGAGGCAGCGGUGGAGAGGACAAGAACAGCCAGGAGCCCCGACCGGAAGGAGCCCACGAGCACGGCGUGCUGUGCCCAAGGCAGAGCCGGCCAAGCUGCCUUCCUUCAGGAGCAGUUGGUCUGUGCUCAGGACGAAGAGGUUUGCAAGGAAUCACUUGAGGUGUGGCAGGCUGAACAGCCACCCGGAAGGUGUCCCUGUCUAAUCCCCAGGACCCGAGACUCUAUGACCUUACGUUGCGAAGGGAGAUUUGCAGGUGUGAUUAAGUUAACGAUCUUGAGAUGGGGAGGCUAUCCUGGUGGGAUAACCAGUGUUCUCACAAGCCACAAGCCUUAGAAGCCAGAAGAGGGAGCAGAGGGUUGGAUCAGAGAGGGAGAUAGAGGAAGGAGGCAGAGUCAGGGGGCACGCUAAGACCCUAGGCUGCUGAGGAGGAGGGGCCACAAGCCCCGGCUGAGGGCAGCCUGUAGAAACUGGAAAAGAGUUUUCCUCUAGAGCUUUGCAAAGGAACUCAGCCCUGCCGACACCUUGACUUUAGCCUGCUGAAGCCCAUUUGGGACUUCUGACCCCCAGAUCUGUAAGACCCUAAAUUGGUGGUGUUAGCCACUAAUAAGUUUGCAGUAAUUUGCUCCAGCAACAAUCUGAAACUAAUACAUAAAGAAUGCCUGAAAUGCCUCCCCUGGGAGGCAUCAUUGCUCGUCCGCCUAAUGGCCAUUUCUAACAACCCUCCUUCCUUGCCUUCUUCCCAAGUACUAAUACUCCCAACCUCUUUUGCACUCCGGGAUGAUCAGGAGACCCACGGAGUCAUAAGGAAAAGCCAGCUGGGGAAAGAGCCUCUUUCGGAUAAAAGGAGGAGCCACCAUUUCUUACAGAAAAUCAUAGAAAACCAAUAAAUACUUAACUGAAUGCCCCCGGCUCUGGGCU